AGAGUUUGAUCAUGGCUCAGAACGAACGCUGGCGGCGUGGAUAAGACAUGCAAGUCGGACGAGAUUUUUCGUUGUAGCAAUACGAUGGAAAGUCUAGUGGCGAACGGGUGCUUAACACGUGGGCAACCUGCCGAGAAGUGGGGGAUAGCUCGCCGAAAGGCGAAUUAAUACCGCAUGUGAUUAGAGUGGACAUCCAUUCGAAAUUAAAGUCGGGGCAACCUGACGCUUCUUGUGGGGCCCGCGGCCUAUCAGCUAGUUGGUGAGGUAAUGGCUCACCAAGGCUUUGACGGGUAGCUGGUCUGAGAGGACGACCAGCCACACUGGGACUGAGACACGGCCCAGACACCUACGGGUGGCAGCAGUCGAGAAUUUUUCUCAAUGGGGGAAACCCUGAAGGAGCGACGCCGCGUGGAGGAUGAAGGUCUUCGGAUUGUAAACUCCUGUCAUUGGGGAACAAUGCGUGAUGGUUAACUGCCGUCGCGUUGAUAGUACCCGAAGAGGAAGAGACGGCUAACUCUGUGCCAGCAGCCGCGGUAAUACAGAGGUCUCAAGCGUUGUUCGGAUUCAUUGGGCGUAAAGGGUGCGUAGGCGGCGCGGUAAGUCGGGUGUGAAAUCUCGGAGCUUAACUCCGAAACUGCAUUCGAUACUGCCGUGCUUGAGGACUGGAGAGGAGACUGGAAUUUACGGUGUAGCGGUGAAAUGCGUAGAUAUCGUAAGGAAGACCAGUGGCGAAGGCGGGUCUCUGGACAGUUCCUGACGCUGAGGCACGAAGGUCAGGGGAGCAAACGGGAUUAGAUACCCCAGUAGUCC
RNAcentral lists this ribosomal RNA (810 nucleotides) under uncultured bacterium. Its description in RNAcentral is "bacterial SSU rRNA". It matches the Rfam family "Bacterial small subunit ribosomal RNA", at positions 8 to 796 of the family's 1533-position model. The record is from RNAcentral.